UGGGGAAUAUUGGACAAUGGGCGAAAGCCUGAUCCAGCCAUGCCGCGUGUGUGAAGAAGGUCUUCGGAUUGUAAAGCACUUUAAGUUGGGAGGAAGGGCAGUAAGCGAAUACCUUGCUGUUUUGACGUUACCGACAGAAUAAGCACCGGCUAACUCUGUGCCAGCAGCCGCGGUAAUACAGAGGGUGCAAGCGUUAAUCGGAAUUACUGGGCGUAAAGCGCGCGUAGGUGGUUCGUUAAGUUGAAUGUGAAAGCCCCGGGCUCAACCUGGGAACUGCAUCCAAAACUGGCGAGCUAGAGUAGGGGAGAGGGUGGUGGAAGUACCUGUGUAGCGGUGAAAUGCGUAGAUAUAGGAAGGAACACCAGUGGCGAAGGCGACCACCUGGGCGGAUACUGACACUGAGGUGCGAAAGCGUGGGGAGGAAACAAG
This 429-nucleotide ribosomal RNA is filed under the name Pseudomonadota bacterium. RNAcentral describes it as "Proteobacteria bacterium partial 16S ribosomal RNA". It matches the Rfam family "Bacterial small subunit ribosomal RNA", at positions 355 to 776 of the family's 1533-position model. Lineage: Bacteria; Pseudomonadati; Pseudomonadota. The record is from RNAcentral.